RNAcentral lists this unclassified non-coding RNA (205 nucleotides) under Ascomycota sp. RNAcentral's name for it is "partial contains small subunit ribosomal RNA, internal transcribed spacer 1, and 5.8S ribosomal RNA". The stretch from base 1 to 47 matches the Rfam family "Eukaryotic small subunit ribosomal RNA", at positions 1785 to 1831 of the family's 1831-position model. The record is from RNAcentral. Lineage: Eukaryota; Fungi; Ascomycota.
AAAGUCGUAACAAGGUCUCCGUUGGUGAACCAGCGGAGGGAUCAUUACAGAGUCUAACUCUCUAAACACCCUGUGAACAUACCACUGUUGCUUCGGCGGACCGCUCGCGGGCCGCCGGAGGCCUCAAACGCUGUCUUACAGAGAAGUCUGAGUGGCGAAAGCACAGAAUGAAUCACAACUUUCAGCAAUGGAUCUCUUGGUUCUG